Non-coding RNA from Gossypium hirsutum (cotton), 86 nucleotides. NCBI's taxonomy places the organism in Eukaryota, Viridiplantae, Streptophyta, Magnoliopsida, Malvales, Malvaceae. The record is from Rfam.
CACGUCAGCGCGACCUGCUGACGUGGAAGGAAAUUGUGCCCUUGAGGGAGCGUUUCCUUCCACGUCAGCAGGUCGUACUGACGUGG